This 406-nucleotide ribosomal RNA is filed under the name uncultured bacterium. RNAcentral describes it as "partial 16S ribosomal RNA". It matches the Rfam family "Bacterial small subunit ribosomal RNA", at positions 30 to 526 of the family's 1533-position model. The record is from RNAcentral.
AUUGAACGCUGGCGGCAGGCUUAACACAUGCAAGUCGAGCGAGCGGCGGACGGGUGAGUAAUGCUUAGGAAUCUGCCUGAUGGAGGGGGAUAACUACUGGAAACGGUAGCUAAUACCGCAUACCAUCAGAUGUGCCCAGAUGGGAUUAGCUAGUAGGUGGGGUAAUGGCUCACCUAGGCGACGAUCCCUAGCUGGUCUGAGAGGAUGACCAGCCACACUGGAACUGGGACACGGUCCAGACGCCUACGGGAGGCAGCAGUGGGGAAUAUUGGACAAUGGGGGGAACCCUGAUCCAGCCAUGCCGCGGGUGUGAAGAAGGCCUUAUGGUUGUAAAGCACUUUAAGCGAGGAGGCGUUACUCGCAGAAUAAGCACCGGCUAACUCUGUGCCAGCAGCCGCGGUAAUAC